This 491-nucleotide ribosomal RNA is filed under the name uncultured bacterium. RNAcentral's name for it is "partial 16S ribosomal RNA". It matches the Rfam family "Bacterial small subunit ribosomal RNA", at positions 29 to 506 of the family's 1533-position model. The record is from RNAcentral.
AGUGAACGCUGGCGGUAGGCCUAACACAUGCAAGUCGAACGGCAGCACAGUAAGAGCUUGCUCUUACGGGUGGCGAGUGGCGGACGGGUGAGGAAUACAUCGGAAUCUACUUUUUCGUGGGGGAUAACGUAGGGAAACUUACGCGAAUACCGCAUACGACCUACGGGUGAAAGCAGGGGAUCUUCGGACCUUGCGCGAUUGAAUGAGCCGAUGUCGGAUUAGCUAGUUGGCGGGGUAAAGGCCCACCAAGGCGACGAUCCGUAGCUGGUCUGAGAGGAUGAUCAGCCACACUGGAACUGAGACACGGUCCAGACUCCUACGGGAGGCAGCAGUGGGGAAUAUUGGACAAUGGGCGCAAGCCUGAUCCAGCCAUACCGCGUGGGUGAAGAAGGCCUUCGGGUUGUAAAGCCCUUUUGUUGGGAAAGAAAAGCAGCAGGUUAAUACCCCGCUGUUCUGACGGUACCCAAAGAAUAAGCACCGGCUAACUUCGU